CCCGAAACACGAACCAAGGAGUCUAUCUAGUAUGCAAGUAAAUGAGUAUAUGAAACUUAUUUGCAGAAAAAACUUGACUGUUAUGGGACUACGAGUAGCAUUUCGGUGCUGCUCCUCCAUCCCGGGGUAUUUUCAUCAAUAUAUGGCAACAUAUAGAAAAUAUACCAUGAGCAUACUGGAUAUGACCCGAAAGAUGGUGAACUAUGCCUGAUCAGGUUGAAGUCAGGGGAAACCCUGAUGGAGGACCGAAGCAAUUCUGACGUGCAAAUCGAUUGUCAGAAUUGGGCAUAGGGGCGAAAGACCAAUCGAACCAUCUAGUAGCUGGUUCCUUCCGAAGUUUCCCUCAGGAUAGCUGGAGCAUAGAAAUAUCUUUUUCUAACUCAUACCUGGUAAAGCGAAUGAUUAGAGGCCUUAGGAACGAAAUGUUCUUAACCUAUUCUCAAACUUUAAAUGGGUAUGUAAGCUAACAUACUUGAUUGAUGUUGGCCUGGUGGUGAACGCAAGUUCAUCUGUAAGAUUGUAUGCGCCCAGUGGGCCAAGUUUUGGUAAGCAGAACUGGUGCUGCGGGAUGAACCGAACGCAUUGUUAAGGCGCCCAAAUAAACGACGCAUCAUCGAUACCAUGAAAGGUGUUGAUUGCUGAAGACAGCAGACGUAUAGUC
RNAcentral lists this ribosomal RNA (661 nucleotides) under Smittia aterrima. RNAcentral's name for it is "eukaryotic LSU rRNA". It matches the Rfam family "Eukaryotic large subunit ribosomal RNA", at positions 653 to 1253 of the family's 3401-position model. The record is from RNAcentral. Lineage: Eukaryota; Metazoa; Arthropoda; Insecta; Diptera; Chironomidae.